UAAAGGGCAAACCGAGUUGUGGUUGGUUAUAAGUUUACUUACAACUUAGUGUAAAAGAAGGAGGCAAUGACUAGGUGAGAGGUUGGAUUUGAACAGUAUAUACCACACGAAAAAUAGCAAUUAAUAGACAUGAAUUAAGAAAUUUGAGAAAAUUCUUAUUCCAAAGGUUUUUGGAAUUGUGUUUGAACAACAAAAAGUACCCUUAAAAGUUUCACCGUCUAUAAUUUCAUCUUGAUAAUUAAUUGCAGUAAACGUUUGUAAACGAAUGUAUUAUAUAUACAACUUUUUCACGUUGUGGUCAAAUUCUUUAGUUAUUUCAUCUUCUAAGUAAUUAGUGAAUAUAUUGAAUUGACGAAAAAACGAUGAACAACAUAAUAAGAGGCAUAAAGUGCUUCUCUACUUA
Non-coding RNA from Schizosaccharomyces pombe (fission yeast), 403 nucleotides. The record is from the annotation of a GenBank genome assembly. NCBI's taxonomy places the organism in Eukaryota, Fungi, Ascomycota, Schizosaccharomycetes, Schizosaccharomycetales, Schizosaccharomycetaceae.